UACGUAGGGGGCAAGCGUUGUCCGGAUUUAUUGGGCGUAAAGAGCGUGUAGGCGGCUUGACAAGUCUGCUGUGAAAACUCGAGGCUCAACCUCGAGCUGUCGGUGGAAACUGUCUGGCUAGAGUCCGGAAGAGGAGAGUGGAAUUCCUGGUGUAGCGGUGAAAUGCGCAGAUAUCAGGAAGAACACCUAUGGCGAAGGCAGCUCUCUGGGACGGUACUGACGCUGAGACGCGAAAGCUAGGGGAGCAAACAGG
RNAcentral lists this ribosomal RNA (253 nucleotides) under uncultured bacterium. Its description in RNAcentral is "partial 16S ribosomal RNA". It matches the Rfam family "Bacterial small subunit ribosomal RNA", at positions 524 to 776 of the family's 1533-position model. The record is from RNAcentral.